Thalassophryne amazonica is the source of this 154-nucleotide long non-coding RNA. RefSeq lists it as uncharacterized. The record is from RefSeq and is a predicted model, not a curated record. The transcript has 3 exons. NCBI's taxonomy places the organism in Eukaryota, Metazoa, Chordata, Actinopteri, Batrachoidiformes, Batrachoididae.
ACUCCAAACCUGAAAUACACAGUUUGAAUAAAUAAACUCUGGGUCCCUUUGGAUGUGACUUAAGUUGUAUUUAGGACAGAAAGAAUAAGUGUGAUUGCACAGGAGGUUAAAAAAAAAGAAAAAAAAAAAAAAAACAAACUGUGUUUGAAGAUUU